RNAcentral lists this ribosomal RNA (256 nucleotides) under uncultured bacterium. Its description in RNAcentral is "partial 16S ribosomal RNA". It matches the Rfam family "Bacterial small subunit ribosomal RNA", at positions 524 to 776 of the family's 1533-position model. The record is from RNAcentral.
UACGGGGGGGAGCAAGCGUUGUUCGGAUUUACUGGGCGUAAAGGGCGCGUAGGCGGUCAGCACAAGUCAGUUGUGAAAUCUCCGGGCUUAACCCGGAAAGGUCAACUGAUACUGUGCGACUAGAGUGCGGAAGGGGCAACUGGAAUUCUCGGUAUAGCGGUGAAAUGCGUUGAUAUCCAGAGGAACUCCGGUGGCGAAGGCGGCCCGCUGGACCCGGUCUGACGCUGAGGCGCGGAAGCCAGGGGAGCGGAACGGG